RNAcentral lists this ribosomal RNA (427 nucleotides) under uncultured bacterium. RNAcentral describes it as "bacterial SSU rRNA". It matches the Rfam family "Bacterial small subunit ribosomal RNA", at positions 355 to 774 of the family's 1533-position model. The record is from RNAcentral.
UGGGGAAUAUUGGACAAUGGGGGAAACCCUGAUCCAGCGACGCCGCGUGGGUGAAGAAGGCCUGCGGGUUGUAAAGCCCUUUCGGUUGGGAAGAAAAGUUGCGACCUAACACGUCGCGACCUUGACGUAACCAACUAAAGAAGCACCGGCUAACUCUGUGCCAGCAGCCGCGGUAAUACAGAGGGUGCGAGCGUUAAUCGGAAUUACUGGGCGUAAAGCGCGCGUAGGCGGCUUGGCAAGUCGGGUGUGAAAUACCCGGGCUCAAGCUGGGAAGUGCAUUUGAGACUGCUUUGCUAGAGUAUGGGAGAGGGAAGUGGAAUUUCCGGUGUAGGUGUGAAAUGCGUAGAUAUCGGAAGGAACAUCAGUGGCGAAAUCGACUUCCUGGACCAAUACUGACGCUCAUGUGCGAAAGCGUGGGGAGCAAACA